Molecule: small nuclear RNA, 23 nt
Filed under: Arabidopsis thaliana (thale cress)
Lineage: Eukaryota; Viridiplantae; Streptophyta; Magnoliopsida; Brassicales; Brassicaceae
Description: snRNA_18065
Source: RNAcentral
AUAUGGUUUUCACCGUUUGUCUU